CUAUGCCUACGGGGGGCAGCAGUGGGGAAUAUUGGGCAAUGGGCGCAAGCCUGACCCAGCGACGCCGCGUGGGCGAAGAAGUAUUUCGGUAUGUAAAGCCCUAUCAGCAGGGAAGAAGAAAUGACGGUACCUGAGUAAGAAGCACCGGCUAAAUACGUGCCAGCAGCCGCGGUAAUACGUAUGGUGCAAGCGUUAUCCGGAUUUACUGGGUGUAAAGGGAGCGCAGGCGGCACGGCAAGCCUGAUGUGAAAGCCCGCGGCCCAACCGCGGGACUGCAUUGGGAACUACCGGGCUGGAGUGCCGGG
Molecule: ribosomal RNA, 305 nt
Filed under: uncultured bacterium
Lineage: Bacteria
Description: bacterial SSU rRNA
Rfam family: Bacterial small subunit ribosomal RNA
Source: RNAcentral